UCCCCAAGACCUAAAUAAUUUUA
This 23-nucleotide unclassified non-coding RNA is filed under the name Mus musculus (house mouse). RNAcentral describes it as "oocyte_clustered_small_RNA6038". Lineage: Eukaryota; Metazoa; Chordata; Mammalia; Rodentia; Muridae. The record is from RNAcentral.